ACCUUCUCCUUGAUUUUGCCAUUUCCCUAUACUUGUGGCCAUCAGAAAUCUUGAAGAUGCCAUUAGAGACCAAGGUAAGCCUCAAUCCCACCUCCUCCCUCUAUUUUUCUUCUUCCCAUGACCCUGUGUACCAUCACCAGCCAUCAAUUUCACUAAAAAAUCAUGAAGAAAGAAAUCACUAUUUUUUUAGUACUUCUCACCCCUUUUUUGGCCAUCGAUGUCACCGUCUCUUGAAGCCGAGCCCUAGGCUGAGUACCCAACCUCCCAUGGCCC
RNAcentral lists this long non-coding RNA (273 nucleotides) under Elaeis guineensis (African oil palm). RNAcentral's name for it is "long non-coding RNA (EGUI_LNC040400)". The record is from RNAcentral. Lineage: Eukaryota; Viridiplantae; Streptophyta; Magnoliopsida; Arecales; Arecaceae.